RNAcentral lists this long non-coding RNA (366 nucleotides) under Rosa chinensis. Its description in RNAcentral is "sRNA RchiOBHm_Chr4g0401401". Lineage: Eukaryota; Viridiplantae; Streptophyta; Magnoliopsida; Rosales; Rosaceae. The record is from RNAcentral.
UUCUCUUUCUCUCUCCCCGACUCUCCCUUCCUCUCUCGGCCGAUUCGCUCCCCCUCCGAGUUCUUCCUCUUCCGGCCGCCUCCGGACGUAAUCCGGCCAACCCCAAGCUCGGUUUCCUCCCCCGGUCACGUCUGUGGAAGCAUCUUUGGACGAUUUGGCCGGAAAAGCUCGGAUCGAACGAAUUUCCUCCCCGGUUGCAGUUUUGGAUUUUGGCCGAUUCCCGGCCAUUCCGGCCACCUCCGGCCCCCAUCUCACCGUCGAAGUUAAAAUUGAUCAAUGUUGACGAGAGGAGUCUCCAUACGAGGAGAAUCACGAGCGACGUCAGGAUUGACCGCUUAUUGUGAGUGGACCUUUGAUUUUAAUUGA